RNAcentral lists this non-coding RNA (139 nucleotides) under human gut metagenome. RNAcentral describes it as "glmS glucosamine-6-phosphate activated ribozyme". It matches the Rfam family "glmS glucosamine-6-phosphate activated ribozyme aptamer", at positions 4 to 151 of the family's 167-position model. From Rfam's summary of the family: This entry contains a glucosamine-6-phosphate activated ribozyme that is found in the mRNA for GlmS. GlmS is an enzyme that uses fructose-6-phosphate and glutamine to generate glucosamine-6-phosphate. The ribozyme catalyses self cleavage of the glmS mRNA that is thought to regulate GlmS activity. The record is from RNAcentral.
AAACAAAAAGCGCCGGGACCGUAAGAUUGGCAUUAUAGGUUGACGAGGAUGGGGAGUAUCGAAACAUUCGGCGGAUGCCCCAAGGCAGAAAAGCACUGCCGGGAAAACCAAAAACACGGAGUAAUCCGUGAACAAAGAG